Long non-coding RNA from Theobroma cacao (cacao), 546 nucleotides. RefSeq lists it as uncharacterized. NCBI's taxonomy places the organism in Eukaryota, Viridiplantae, Streptophyta, Magnoliopsida, Malvales, Malvaceae. The record is from RefSeq and is a predicted model, not a curated record.
UUUUCUUUUGCCUCUUUCAAUUUCUUUGUUAAGCUCUCCCUUAUUCUUACCAAAAAAUGAUUCCAAAGACGGAAAGGCAUGGAUUGACUGGCAAGUGCUCAUACGUUCAGUUUAAUAUCCCGUCACUUAUUUGGUCACUGCUCUUGAGAUCAAUUUACCCAAACUCGACGGCAAGACUUAAAAGGUGUAUAAAGGAUGGAAGAUUUGGUAGACUCUGCAUUUCAAGCAACUUUGGGCAAAAAUUUGGUUAGCGUAUACAAAUAUGGGAGGUUAUUAUUGACUCUGCUGCUAGUGUGCUUGGAAUGUGUGAUCUUCACCAGUUCAGCCUGAUAACCUAAUUAAUGUUUUUGAACACUCGAUGAUUCAACUCCAAAAGUUUGAUUUCCAAAACUCUUGCCUUGUUCAUGUAUGAAGACAACUAGUGGAUAAUAUGUAUUUUUUAGAGUUUUAGUUUGUAUUACUACCCAUGUUUUCUCUGUAAGUGUUUGCAUCUGAUGACUAAUUCAAGAUUAUCUUUUUGAAGGAAAAAACAGUUUUAACAUUGAA